Pelobates cultripes (western spadefoot toad) is the source of this 1874-nucleotide non-coding RNA. NCBI's taxonomy places the organism in Eukaryota, Metazoa, Chordata, Amphibia, Anura, Pelobatidae. The record is from the annotation of a GenBank genome assembly.
GGGAACACCCAAGCCAUGAAGGUGUGUAUGUGGUCUGUAACAAUCUCUAGGUAGGUGAUAUGUGUCAAAGUAACAUCCACAUUAAUGUAAGGACCCAAGGUUUCCCAGAAGAAUAUUGCCCAGAGAAUAACACUGCUCCCACCGGCCUGUCUUCUUACCAUCCUGCUGACAUCUCUUCCCCAAGUAAAUGAUGCCCACACACCUGGCCAUCCACCUAAUCUAAAAGAAAACGUGUUUCUUCAGACCAAACAUUUUUCUUCACUUGUCCCUGGUCCAGUUCUGACGCUCAUAUCCUUUUCAACUGUGGGCAGGGGUCAUCAUGGGCACUCUGACUGGUCUGCAGCUACACAGCCCCAUACGUAGCAAACUGAAAUGCACUGUGUGUGUCCUGGCCCUUUUCUAUCGUGGCCAGCAUUAAGGUUUUCAGCAAUUUGAGCUUUUCUGUGAGAUUGGGCUAGACGUGCUCUUGUCAAAGUCACUCAGAUCUUUUAGAUCUUUUUGCUUGCCCAUUUGUCCUAGUUCCAAAACAUGAAAUUCAAGAACUGACUGUUCACUUGCUGUCCAAUAUAUCCUACCCCUUGACAGGGGCCAUUAUAAUGAUAUAAUCAACGUUAUUCACAUUUCAAUGUUGUGGCUGAUCAGUGUAGAGAUCUCCAAAGUUAAUAGAAAGUAAUAAUGGUGCCAAAAAGUGUAACUUUUCCUUUAAGUUCUUAUGUCCUCUCACCUUUCUGUUCUCAUAGUCACACCGGAUAACAGGUAAAUUGUACAGUGAGAAUGAUAUAAGGUUGUCAAUGUAUCAUAUAUUACUAGAACACCAUAUGGAAUCUCUGACACUGAUGACAAAAAGUAAAAUCUCUUCUGCUCUGUUUUAAGCCUUGAUGCGUAUAAGUAUACUGGAAAUAUUUUUUUCAAGGAUUGAAAUGAAUGACCCUUAAAAGUUUUACUAUAAACAUAAAAGAAAAAGAAAACACACCCGAGUUCCGAGAAGGAUGAGCACAUAAUUACUUUUCAGGAUAACUCGUAUACCACAGAGCGGUAAAAUGAAGAACAUGUAUAAAAUCUAUAUUUUUUUAUGUUUAAAUUUAGAUGCUCUCGAAGAGUGCAUAGUUAUUAUAAAUUGCAUUCAUGUUUUGCUCAACAUCAACCAUGGGCAAAAAUAAACAUUGAUGUAACAGAUGUUAUUAGCUUCCUGACAAAAAUACUAUCUAUUGUAUUCCAAAGUCCAAAAAGUCAGAAGAAAAGCUUUCUUCCAAUGUAACCAAAAGCUGAAUAAAAUAAAUCUUUGGUUUCGCAAUGCAUACUGUAAGAACAUCAGUGGUCUUAGGGGGCCAAUGACAUCGUUUCCUUUUCCCCAGUAGGAGUUGGAGCAAAACGCAAGUGUUUUUAGAAAAGGCUGUGUUUCCACUGAUAAAUUCUGGGAAAGGAAGGUGGCGUUGAGGGGAAAAGUCAGAUUUAGAACAUCCAGAACUGACUCACGGUCACUGAGAUUUGAAAAUGAUCCAUUCAAAGUACGAUUAUAUAAUCGUGCUGGUGUCAUUGUUCUUCAUUAAAGAGACACUUUCAUUAAAAGAUAAUUUAGAGUAUGUAUGUAUGUGUGUAUAUAUAUAUAUAUAUAUAAAACAUAAUUACAUACACACUGUAUAACAUUGUUCUACGUGUUUGCCAAAUUUCUUUAUCUAUCUGCUUUUCUGCGAUUUUUUUUUUUCUGGUUUUGCUUCACUUUAGAUUUUAUACUGCAUUGAAUGAUACUCAUAAACGCCAGUUUUUCUUAGAUACUGAUGUACAUAUUAGAGGUACACUAUAGUCCCCAAAGGCAUUUUGCUGUAAACACUGUCUUUUCAGAGAAAUGACGAUGUUUACGUUGCUCCCUAGAG